CGGGAUUUGAUCUGGCAGUUCAUUUUUUUGCUUGUCAUCUGUUCAGUACUCAUAAACUUGUGGCAGGACUAUGUCUGCAACAACAAUUUUUUAUACAAAAUAAAUUGCGUGACCUACAGACUGCCAGAGAAGAAAAGAUCAGCUUGGGCUGCUAUAACAAAGAAACUGUAAGCGACAGAGGAGCAGUGGCUUUAAGGGGUGGACAAACAUCCGAGAGCGAUAUUUCAGGGAGUGCAAACGAGCAGAACGGGCGUCUGGAAGGGAAGCAAAUACACCAGGAAAUAUACCUUUAUUUGAAAGUCUCAAAUUUUGAAAGGAGUAUAUAAAGCCUAGAUAAGCUCAUUGCAGGAUGACACAUUAUCAGUCAGUCAUUAUCAUCUCGGAAAUCUUCAUGGACACCGACAGCCUCAAGCAGAAGAAAACGAAAACAUAAUCCCGGCGUUAUUGACGAAAAAUUUAGAAGCGUGUCCAACAUGUAAAAUAUAAGGAGGUAUGUCGCUAUAGAUUGGCGCAAAAAGGGAAUGAGACAUUGCGGUCAUUCGGGCAGAUGAUAAAAAAAAAUUACUAAACUCUGUAGCAACAGGUUACGAGAGUAUAAUAAAAACAGGCGAAGGGAAUUGAAAUUCCAGCCCAAAGAAGUUAGUGAUUAUUUUGAGUUGAUAUUUAAAAAAUUUUUAUAUAAGUAUCUAAAUUAAUUAAAUUCUAAAUCUAAUUUAAUUAUAAUAAACAAAUAAACUUUAAAAUAAAUAAA
Bactrocera oleae (olive fruit fly) is the source of this 751-nucleotide long non-coding RNA. RefSeq lists it as uncharacterized. NCBI's taxonomy places the organism in Eukaryota, Metazoa, Arthropoda, Insecta, Diptera, Tephritidae. The record is from RefSeq and is a predicted model, not a curated record.